This 1287-nucleotide ribosomal RNA is filed under the name Triticum aestivum (bread wheat). RNAcentral's name for it is "partial small subunit ribosomal RNA". Lineage: Eukaryota; Viridiplantae; Streptophyta; Magnoliopsida; Poales; Poaceae. The record is from RNAcentral.
AUGCUCAACCCCUUCCGCUUCAUCCGCCAGGCUAUCGCUCUCCACCGCAACAACCCUACGUUCGGGCUCACCUCCUCUGGCCGUGGCGCUGUGUGUCUCUCCUUUGCAAACGCUGAAGAGCGUUUCGCCGUCACGGGCCAUGGCCCUAUCCACCACGAGGGCAACACCCUCUUCUUCGAGCGUCCAGAGCACGCAGACAACAGAUCCCUGGCCAUCUUCAUUCACAUGGCCGAGAUCGAAGCCUUUGACUAUCCCGAUGAGCUCUGGCACCCUGAGGGGGCAGAUUACUUCUUCUCACACCUGGGAGACUUCGUGUCAGCAGAUCAGCACUGCUUCCAGGGUGACCACUCCAGUGUCCGUGCUCUUGUCAUGGUGGCCCGCGACUUCGUCCUUCCCCCUUGUCUCAUGGUGCGCCUUCCUGACAACGAUGUAGUUGUCGUCAAGCUUGAGAGUCGUGCUCUCUUCCGCCAUGGCUCGGGCGCCUCCCCUUUCUCCUCCGAUGACGAGGACAACUCUUCCCUUUCCUCCCAGAUAUCCAACCCACGCCUGUCCCCAGCCACCACGCACCAGAUCCGAUCCAUCGCUGCAGCCAUGUCUCCUUUCGCAUGCACACCCGAAUCUCCCUCGGGCCCUCCACCAACACCUGCAACUACGCUCCCUCUGGACGGCAUCCCUAUCCUUGCUGUCAUGGCCGAUGGCAUGCCUGUGGCCAUGCUGGUGCAUGCCCCAUGGUCUCCUCCCGCAUGCACUCCCACUCCCGCUCGCAAGCUUGUCCGAUCGACUGCUCCCCGUCCUAUGCUCGCAUUACCAGCUCCACCCUCUCCAGCUCCCUUACCACCACCACUGUCCCCUCCCCACUCUCCUCCGGUGCUCCAUGAGCCACCUCUGCCUGUCGUCGUAGCCGAUCCGGCUCCCGAUCUGCCUCCUGAACCCACGCAUGAGUGUCUGGCCAGGCGCAUCAGCAGGCGCGCCAAGAUGGCCGCUGACUCUGGUGUUAAGGCCAGACGCAACGCUCGAUUGGCCGAAAUCGAGCCCCCAAACUACUCCUCCAUGACUGCCAAGGCCAUGCGCUCCAAGGCGAAAAAACUCGACCUCUCAACUGCUUCCAAGGAUCUCUCGGACGCCCUUGUCCACGCUCGUCUCUGCGAUAUGGAUGGACUCAUCGACGACUCGGCCCGCGGUCCUGCCUCGCCAGAGGAUCUCGCGGCCAUUGCUACUGCAUGCGGUGCUCCGCCGGAGGUGGCGGUUGAUAUCGCUUCGGGCUCCGAUGUUUUGGGCUCGCCAUGA